ACCGUGCAAAGGUAGCAUAAUAAUUAGUUUUUUAAUUGAAAGCUGGAAUGAAUGAUUGGACGAGAAAAUAACUGUCUCAAUUUAAUUUUUUUAAAAUUUUAUUUUUAAGUAAGAAAGCUUAAAUAUUAUUAAAAGACGAGAAGACCCUAUAGAGUUUUAUAAUUAACUCGAUAUUAAUUUUUGAGAAUUAUUUUAUUAAUAUUGAGUUAAUUAUUUUGUUGGGGCGAUAGAGAAAUAUUAUUAACUUUUUUUAUUAUUAGUUCAUUAAUUUAUGAAUAAAUGAUCCAUUUUUUAUGAUUAUAAGAAUAAGUUACCUUAGGGAUAACAGCGUUAUUUUUUUUUAGAGUUCUUAUCGAAAAAAAAGAUU
Molecule: ribosomal RNA, 367 nt
Filed under: Maladera verticalis
Lineage: Eukaryota; Metazoa; Arthropoda; Insecta; Coleoptera; Scarabaeidae
Description: partial 16S ribosomal RNA
Source: RNAcentral